Molecule: long non-coding RNA, 1053 nt
Filed under: Heterocephalus glaber (naked mole-rat)
Lineage: Eukaryota; Metazoa; Chordata; Mammalia; Rodentia; Bathyergidae
Description: lncRNA (ENSHGLG00000042694.1)
Source: RNAcentral
UUUAUUAUAAGUUGUAACACUUGGCUAGUUUUGUUUGUAUAUGUCUUAAAAUGUUUUCUUAUGAUAUUUAAGUGACAGUUAAAGAGGUAUCAAGGUAACUUGUGUAGAACUAUUGUUUGAUAUAUUGUCAUGUUUGUUGUGAAUAUUUUUUCUUACUGCACAGUAGAAAAAUAAAAGCAACUGGUCUUUAUUUUAAUGUAAUUCAGAUUGGGAAAAACAAAACAGAGCUAAGGGAACAAAAUGACUGCGGGAGCACUCUCCCAAGUCCAGUGCACUGAUCAUUUUAGUAUGUUUGUGCUUUGUACGGUUAUAUAUUUAAAACAAAAAACAAAACAAAAAAAUACAAGAGUUCAUGCUCUUCCCUGGGUAAUAGAAACAGUUACUCGCUAUGCAUAAUCUAGUUGAUAGUUAAAUUUGCUAUUGCUUUUCUUGUCUUGUUAUAUAAAAUCUUUUCAAUACAAGUUUAGUCUUAAUGGUAAUAAAAUGUUAUGGUUAUUUAUAACUUGUGCUUAUUUUGUGCAUUUUUUCCCAUGCUGAACCCACUAACUGCAUGUAGACAGGACUGUUGUUUUCACACUGAAGAGGCAAACUUUGUAGUAGUCGUCGUAGUGGUAGACAGAUCAUGAAAACCAAGGCUGCAUCAUAGACUCCUCCUUUAAAUUUUUUUUCCUCUUUUUCAGUUUUGGAAAAAAAAAACACCAGAUUUCAGUUCAGAGAACACUUGUUCAACAUUCAGGGAAAACUUUUUACAUCACCUGCUAUGAAUGAACGCAGUUUGCUGGCAAAGUUUUGUUGCAUUUGCUAAGCAUUAGUGGGAAAGGCAUGCCAAAAUCUCUUCUCUAUAAUGUGUUCAAUCUGGGGGAAAAAAGGAAAAAAAAACCUUUAGGACCAGGCAGUGUAUUCUUUAGUUGUAAAUGAAUGACUUCAUGUUAAUCUUGCUAGUUUAGAUGAUUUCUGAGGGAAAGUAUUGUAAAUGUUUUUUUCAUAAUCUUGUUGUGUUUGAAUUAUUUGUACUUUAUCUGUCCAGACAAUAAAUGAAAGUGUGUAGAAUGA